RNAcentral lists this ribosomal RNA (228 nucleotides) under uncultured bacterium. RNAcentral's name for it is "partial 16S ribosomal RNA". It matches the Rfam family "Bacterial small subunit ribosomal RNA", at positions 568 to 795 of the family's 1533-position model. The record is from RNAcentral.
UACGUAGGCGGAAAAUUAAGUCAGUAGUGAAAUCCUGCAGCUUAACUGCAGAACUGUUAUUGAUACUGGUUUUCUUGAAUAUAGUUGGGGUAGGCGGAAUGUGUAAUGUAGCGGUGAAAUGCUUAGAUAUUACACAGAACACCGAUUGCGAAGGCAGCUUACUAAGCUAAUAUUGACGCUGAGGUACGAAAGCGUGGGGAGCGAACAGGAUUAGAUACCCUGGUAGUC